RNAcentral lists this ribosomal RNA (460 nucleotides) under uncultured bacterium. RNAcentral describes it as "partial 16S ribosomal RNA". It matches the Rfam family "Bacterial small subunit ribosomal RNA", at positions 338 to 795 of the family's 1533-position model. The record is from RNAcentral.
CCUACGGGAUGCUGCAGUGAGGAAUAUUGGUCAAUGGACGAGAGUCUGAACCAGCCAAGUAGCGUGAAGGAUGACUGCCCUAUGGGUUGUAAACUUCUUUUAUAAAGGAAUAAAACGAGGCACGUGUGCCUUUUUGCAUGUACUUUAUGAAUAAGGAUCGGCUAACUCCGUGCCAGCAGCCGCGGUAAUACGGAGGAUCCGAGCGUUAUCCGGAUUUAUUGGGUUUAAAGGGAGCGUAGAUGGGUUGUUAAGUCAGUUGUGAAAGUUUGCGGCUCAACCGUAAAAUUGCAAUUGAUACUGGCAGUCGUGAGUACAGUUGAGGUAGGCGGAAUUCGUGGUGGAGCGGUGAAAUGCUUAGAUAUCACGAAGAACUCCGAUUGCGAAGGCAGCUUACUAAACUGCCACUGACAUUGAUGCUCGAAAGUGUGGGUAUCAAACAGGAUUAGAUACCCCUGUAGUC